Myotis daubentonii (Daubenton's bat) is the source of this 526-nucleotide long non-coding RNA. RefSeq lists it as uncharacterized. NCBI's taxonomy places the organism in Eukaryota, Metazoa, Chordata, Mammalia, Chiroptera, Vespertilionidae. The record is from RefSeq and is a predicted model, not a curated record.
AGGUGGAAGUUCCGGUUUGGAUGUUGUUGUUUGGAGCUUCCCUGUGCAGUUUUCCAGCGUGUCCUUGGGUGGAUGUCUUUGUGCCGUGAGCAGGGAGGUAUGGAGAGGGAGAGGCAUGGGAUGCAGAGGUGGAACCAUGGAUUGUCUGCUUUCUUCACAGCUCCAACUGGAGACGGCUGUGCCUAUCUGAAAGGUGUGUGUGCCUUUCCUGGUGGCCAUGUCCAGACGACCGAGGCUGUUGUGAUGGAGGGACCUGUGCCUUGUUUUGGAGGGGCCUGUGCUCUUGCCCUCACCUGGCCAGUGUGCAGCGAUGUGUUGUGAUUGUGAUGCCCCAGUGCCCCCUCAUGGUGCUGCUUCCCAGAGAACGGAAGCUGUGACUGUGUGUGCUCACUGCCAUGUAUCUGUGUAGGUUGUGCUGGUGGGUAGCUGACAUGUCUCCGAUUGGAGCUGUGAGCACUGUGUUGUUGGUGGGUGAAUAGUGUACUUUCCUAUGUCAGUGUGCCUAUGAUCGUACAUACAUGCACAC